This 617-nucleotide ribosomal RNA is filed under the name uncultured bacterium. Its description in RNAcentral is "bacterial SSU rRNA". It matches the Rfam family "Bacterial small subunit ribosomal RNA", at positions 38 to 665 of the family's 1533-position model. The record is from RNAcentral.
GGCGGCGUGCCUAAUACAUGCAAGUCGAACGGAGUCCAUCCGGUGGUAACACCGGAGAAGACUUAGUGGCGAACGGGUGCGUAACACGUGAGCAACCUGCCCCAAAGACUGGGAUAACACCGGGAAACCGAUGCUAAUACCGGAUACCCCCAUUGGUCCGCAUGGACUGAUGAGGAAAGGAUUCUGCUUUGGGAGGGGCUCGCGGCCUAUCAGCUUGUUGGUGGGGUAACGGCCUACCAAGGCGACGACGGGUAGCUGGUCUGAGAGGACGAUCAGCCACACUGGGACUGAGACACGGCCCAGACUCCUACGGGAGGCAGCAGUAGGGAAUCUUGCGCAAUGGGCGAAAGCCUGACGCAGCAACGCCGCGUGGGGGAUGAAGGCCUUCGGGUUGUAAACUCCUUUCAGUGGGAACGAAAUUGACGGUACCCACAGAAGAAGCCCCGGCCAACUACGUGCCAGCAGCCGCGGUGAUACGUAGGGGGCGAGCGUUGUCCGGAUUUAUUGGGCGUAAAGAGCUCGUAGGCGGCUUGGCAAGUCGGGUGUGAAACCCCCAGGCUUAACCUGGGGACGCCACUCGAAACUGCCAUGGCUAGAGUCCGGUAGGGGAUCACGGA